RNA transcript from Danio aesculapii, 2599 nucleotides. It is a transcript of the gene named zinc finger protein 501-like, with no coding region annotated. The record is from RefSeq and is a predicted model, not a curated record. Lineage: Eukaryota; Metazoa; Chordata; Actinopteri; Cypriniformes; Danionidae. The transcript is spliced from 3 exons.
UUAAUUUGACUGAACCUGAUUUCCUCCUGGAGCCCGGUUACCGCUGUAAGUCGCUGUUGCUGUGAUUGUCCUCUAGAUGGCAGUAGUACACAGCACACUGAUAGCGGAGGCGCUGGAGUAAAAGCUCAGAACAAGCAACAUUAAACUCGUGUUGAAGAUGAGAAGAAACAAAGAGGCUACACUUCAGCUUUUAUAAACUCUAGAGAGAUUAUUUAGCGAACACGACACAACUCCUGCCUUUAUUCAUUAUAUCCUGGCUCUUGACUGUCAAUUCCUCUGUGAAAGCGAUCAGGAAUAGCGGACUUUUAACGUGUUCAUAUGUAAACAGGCCUGAUGGAGGACACACACCGUCAUGAGAAAAUGAGUGAAAAAACUGACUCAGUGAAGAGAAAAGACAAAGAAUGUGUCACCUGCCCUCAGUGUGGGAAGAGUCUGGCACACAAACAGAGUCUCAGGAAACACAUGAAGAUCCACACUGGAGAGAAACCAUUCAUAUGUACUCAGUGUGGGAAGACUCUUGCAAACAAACAGAGUCUCGGGUGUCACAUGAGGGUCCACACCGGAGAGAAACCGUUCACAUGUUCUCAGUGUGGGAAGAGUUUCAGAAACUUAUCAAACCUUAUUAAUCACAUGAUGAUCCACACUGGAGAGAAAACACAUCAAUGUGAUCAAUGCAGCAAAACAUUUUUGAGGGCUUCAGAUCUGAAGAGCCAUCUUAGAGUUCAUACAAAGGAGAAGCUUUAUCCAUGCUCUGACUGUGGAAAGAGUUUCAGACAUCAAGUUAGUUUAAGAAAUCAUCAGAAGAUGCACACCGGUGUGGGAGAGUACAGGUGCUUUGAGUGUGAGAAGACCUUUAUUUCGGCUGAAAAUUUGAAAAUACAUGAGAGAAUUCACACUGGAGAGAAACCUUACAUUUGUUCACUGUGCAAUAAGAGAUUCAGUCAGUUUGAACAAAUGAAAACACAUGCGAGGGUUCACACUGGAGAGAAACCGUACAAGUGUUCACACUGUGACAAGAGAUUCAGUGAUUCAGGAAAUCUGAGACAACAUGUAAGGAUUCACACUGGAGAGAAACCGUACAAGUGUUCUCAUUGCGACAAGAGAUUCAGAGAUUUAGGAAAUCUGAAAAAACAUGAGAGGAUUCACACUGGAGAGAAACCUUACAGGUGUUCCCACUGCGACAAGAGAUUCAGACAGUUAGGAGGCCUGAAAACACAUGAGAGGAUUCACACCAGAAAGAAACUGUACGAUCACACCGAAAGCAGCGAGAGCGUCAAAGUAGCCGUAAGUCAAUGAGAGCUGGCGGUGAGGAGCAGCGCGGCACGUCUUGGCCGGUUUAGAUGUCCACUGCUUGAGAGGAGUCCAGAGAACAAAGUCACUGUAAACUUUGGUUCCGACCACCACACAUUUUCCCAAGAGUUUGAUUAUUGCGGUCGUCGGAUUUCCAGUUAUUUGCAAUGUUUUCUUACAUUUCUAAUUGAUCCUCCAUAGUUAAAUGAAUUUGAUAAUAAGUGUGCAACAUUGUCACUCUAGAAAGCAUGUUUGACGUGGGAAUGUAACUGAUAUGAUCUGCUGCAACAGCCCCUUAAAACGGCCCCUCAGGGCUCUCUACUGGGACAGCAUGCCAAAUAUGCUUUAUAAUCAAUCGUCAGCUAAGUGUGAACUCUUGAAUGUGUUGUGAUUGGCGGAUCGGAUUUACGUCACCAGGAAGUGACCGUGUCACCGUGUCAGUGAAGCCAUAUCAGUUUGAGCCUGAGUCAGACACAGAAAAUGAAGAGGACACAGCUGAAGCCAUGCAAACGUGACUCUUGCAAGAUGUUUCAGAAUGGUCAUUGCAGAUCCACAUACAGGUUUAUUACAAGAGAAUGGUCAGGCAAGCAACGGUCGACACAGGGGCAAACGGAUGUAUACAGGCAAAUCCAGGGUCGUGGUCAUACAACAGGUGGAGGGUCAAAAGGCAGGCAGCAGACAGGAAUAAACAAUAAAACAAGGCAAGGGUCUAAGACUGCAAGGACAUAUGGUUAGGGAUUGAUGACGUGAAACUGAUGUUUCGACACCCCAAAGCACAAGUGUUUGAAACACUGCACUGAAGCAUGAUCCGAAACAGCCAGGUCACAUGAUUGAGGUGAUUUAAAACAACAGGUUAAGUGAAUAAAGCGAUUCAAAGCUUUGAUCAUUUCAGAAGCGUUUUGAGACUUGUCGAAUCUGCGUUUGACUGACGGGGUCUGGAAAAUCCUCUAUAUCAUGUAGCCUAGUGGGCUAUUGUGUGCUCAAAGUAACUACUGCAGAGUCUUGUACAAAUACUCUGAAAUUAUGAUUUGAUGUAUUUUAAUAAUGUUACUUUAUGUUUUAUAACCAAAAUCAAGACACAUUUAUUCACAAAGUGUUCAUUCGGAUGUCAGACCAAUGUUAAAACAAAUCACGUUACAAGAGCAGAGCAUUUACAAACUAAUAUUCAGAACUGUAUCACCCUGGGGUCCAACCCAUUAUUUCUCUAUGCUAGUCAGGAACUCUCACCGCUCCACUAAUUCACUUGAAACCUCAACUCUACAGCGUGGGGUUUAAUACAUCAAUUUGCUGAACUGUUUCUUUGCUAAAG